GGCUAACGCUGGCGGCGUGUCUUAGCCAUGCAAGUCGAGCGGACUUAUGGGGUAACUUAUAAGUCAGCGGCGGACGGCGGAGUAACACGUAGCUAACCUACCCUCUGGACGGGGAUAACCUACCGAAAGGUGGGCUAAUACCCGAUGUAGUCAUCCUGUAUAGGGGUGAUGAAAGGUGGGCUUCUGUUUACAAGCUCAUGCUGGAGGAGGGGCGUGCGGCCUAAGUCAGGUAGUUGGUAGGGUAAUAGCCUACCAAGCCGAUGACGGGUAGCCGGCCUGAGAGGGUGACCGGCCCGAGGGGCACUGAGAUACGGGUCCCACUCCUACGGGAGGCAGCAGGCUAGAAAUUUGGGCAAUGGGGGAAACCCUGACCCAGUGACGCCGCGUGCAGGAAGGAGCCCUUCGGGGUGUAAACUGCUGUCGUGUAGGGAGAAGGGUACUAAGGUGAACAAUCUUAGUACUUGACGGUACUACAGGAGGAAGCCCAGGCUAACCUCGUG
This 500-nucleotide ribosomal RNA is filed under the name uncultured bacterium. Its description in RNAcentral is "bacterial SSU rRNA". It matches the Rfam family "Bacterial small subunit ribosomal RNA", at positions 28 to 507 of the family's 1533-position model. The record is from RNAcentral.